GAUGAACGCUGGCGGCGUGCCUAAUACAUGCAAGUCGAGCGAACGGACGAGAAGCUUGCUUCCCUGAUGUUAGCGGCGGACGGGUGAGUAACACGUGGAUAACCUACCUAUAAGACUGGGAUAACUUCGGGAAAACGGAGCUAAUACCGGAUAAUAUUUUGAACCGCAUGGUUCAAAAGUGAAAGACGGUCUUGCUGUCACUUAUAGAUGGAUCCGCGCUGCAUUAGCUAGUUGGUAAGGUAACGGCUUACCAAGGCAACGAUGCAUAGCCGACCUGAGAGGACGAUCGGCCACACUGGAACUGAGACACGGUCCAGACUCCUACGGGAGGCAGCAGUAGGGAAUCUUGGGCAAUGGGGGAAAGCCUGACGGAGCAACGCCGCGUGAGUGAUGAAGGUCUUCGGAUCGUAAAACGCUAUUGUUAGGGAAGAACAUAUGUGUAAGUAACUGUGGAGAGCAUGACGGUACCGAAUCAGAAAGUAACGGCUAACUACGUG
This 497-nucleotide ribosomal RNA is filed under the name uncultured bacterium. Its description in RNAcentral is "partial 16S ribosomal RNA". It matches the Rfam family "Bacterial small subunit ribosomal RNA", at positions 28 to 507 of the family's 1533-position model. The record is from RNAcentral.